UGAGUAACGCGUGGGUAACCUGCCUUAUACAGGGGGAUAACAGUCAGAAAUGGCUGCUAAUACCGCAUAAGCGCACAGAGCUGCAUGGCUCGGUGUGAAAAACUACCGGUGGUAUAAGAUGGACCCGCGUUGGAUUAGCUUAUUGGUGGGGUAACGGCCCACCAAGGCGACGAUCCAUAGCCGGCCUGAGAGGGUGAACGGCCACAUUGGGACUGAGACACGGCCCAGACUCCUACGGGAGGCAGCAUG
This 249-nucleotide ribosomal RNA is filed under the name uncultured bacterium. RNAcentral describes it as "partial 16S ribosomal RNA". It matches the Rfam family "Bacterial small subunit ribosomal RNA", at positions 107 to 353 of the family's 1533-position model. The record is from RNAcentral.